UGACCUAUGCAAGGAUAGUGUUCGCUC
Molecule: small RNA, 27 nt
Filed under: Bombyx mori (domestic silkworm)
Lineage: Eukaryota; Metazoa; Arthropoda; Insecta; Lepidoptera; Bombycidae
Description: ovarian small RNA-31635
Source: RNAcentral